RNAcentral lists this ribosomal RNA (324 nucleotides) under uncultured eukaryote. RNAcentral describes it as "partial 18S ribosomal RNA". It matches the Rfam family "Eukaryotic small subunit ribosomal RNA", at positions 1470 to 1796 of the family's 1831-position model. The record is from RNAcentral.
CCCUUAGAUGUUCUGGGCCGCACGCGCGCUACACUGAUGCAUUCAACGAGUUUCCUCCUGGUCCGAGAGGAAUGGGUAACCUUUUGAAAGUGCAUCGUGAUAGGGAUAGACUAUUGCAAUUAUUGGUCUUCAACGAGGAAUUCCUAGUAGACGUAGUUCAUCAGACUGCAUCGAUUACGUCCCUGCCCUUUGUACACACCGCCCGUCGCUCCUACCGAUUGAAUGCUCAGGUGAGCCAUUCGGACUUUCAUCAUGCUGGUUUCCAGUUUUGAUGAAGGAAAGUCUUGCGAACCUUAUCAUUUAGAGGAAGGAGAAGUCGUAACA